This 253-nucleotide ribosomal RNA is filed under the name uncultured bacterium. RNAcentral describes it as "partial 16S ribosomal RNA". It matches the Rfam family "Bacterial small subunit ribosomal RNA", at positions 524 to 776 of the family's 1533-position model. The record is from RNAcentral.
UACAGAGGUCCCGAGCGUUGUUCGGAUUCACUGGGCGUAAAGAGUGCGUAGGUGGUGCCCUAAGUCUGUUGUGAAAUCUCCCGGCUUAACUGGGAGGGUGCGGUGGAAACUGGGGUGCUUGAGUGUGGGAGAGGUAAGCGGAAUUCCUGGUGUAGCGGUGAAAUGCGUAGAUAUCAGGAGGAACACCGGUGGUGUAGACGGCUUACUGGACCACGACUGACACUGAGGCACGAAAGCGUGGGUAGCAAACAGG